Long non-coding RNA from Bombus pyrosoma, 4694 nucleotides. RefSeq lists it as uncharacterized. The record is from RefSeq and is a predicted model, not a curated record. The transcript has 2 exons. NCBI's taxonomy places the organism in Eukaryota, Metazoa, Arthropoda, Insecta, Hymenoptera, Apidae.
UUGAAAUUCACUUUUAUUUCUCCUACUUGCUAUUUGUAUCUCUGUCUUCUUUUUUCUUCUCCUUCUUCUCAUCCCCACUUCUUUCUCUCUUUGUCUCUCUCACCCUUCUCCUCCCUCACCACUCUGUUCGUAUCCCUUCCCAUUUUCUUGUUCUCGUUCUUUCUUUCUCUUUCGCUCUAUCGCACGUGCUUGCAAUCGAGUGCAAGAGAGGCCUGCACAUGGGUUUGCGAAUGCAAGACCUACGCAGUAUGCAUGUGCAUGUUACCGCGGGAUCGGUUGUUUAUCAUGUAUGAUCGGUUUAUAGGUCGACGAGAAAUAACGCAGUGCAAUGUCAAUGGUGUUUCACGAGACGAUGAGGGAUAUUUAAUUCCUCGUUUUGUCGAUGACGGGACACAGCUGUUUUUAACCAGCUGACUCUACGUCUCUGUGCUACGUGUGUGCGCAGCUUUAUCUUAUUCGUUUAUUAACGCACGGCGAGUGUAUGCUAUACGGUCGUGGGUUUUAAAGAUACGCCACAAGACUAUCGGAUAAACAACGCAGGAACGAAGAAAUUGUGCGCAUAUAUACUUCCUUCUUUUACCUCGUAUCUGCGCAUUGUGCUCAUAAACAGGUAGAAAAUGAGAUUCGAAUUAUUUGGAACAAGAAGUGAUGCAGUAGAAACAUAGCGAGCAGAUUGGAGCAAGUCGAAAAUUAAUAACCAAAAAUUUAACGUUCGGAGGGUAUCGGAUAAGGAAGAGAAUAAGGAAGAAAGACAAGCGAUACGAGAUUACGUCCAUCGAACCGCGUUUGCUGCUUUUACGCGUGAAUAUUUGCGAUGGAACGCACUCGCGCCACCAAAACGAACACUCGACUCGGUUACCGUAUCUCGUUGCGAACUUAUCGAACGAUAAGCAGCUACCUAGAGACGCGUCUUCCAAAAAUAAGAUACAGCCAAGGGCGUAUCGCGUAUCGAGUCUUUUAAAACGAACGUGUGUUUGUGCCUUCGCCACGGACAGACUCAGUAAAAUCGGCCGUUGAUUCGCACGUGCGGUUUAUUUCGAUACACAGCCGCGUGUAGUUUUCGCGUGUAUUUCGAGAGAGUCUAGUGAUUCCUCCAUCGAGCGGAGUGGCGCAGAAUGCGAGACGAUCGAGUUGAGGGAAAGAGAAUCGAGAAAACAAAGAUGGACAAUGAAAGGCGAAACGACAGACACUGUCAGACUGUUCUUAGCGAAACGCUGGUUCAACCGAUACUGUAAACAACAGCAACAACAACAGCCACAGCAGAGGCAAAUGCUCCGUAACGGUCUUGCAGAUUGAGUAAUCGUUUCCGCCCCUUUCUGAUGUUACUCGUACACCUUGACUAUGCAGGUCAAACGCACGAAGGCUCUCAAUGAAAUCGAGGUCAUUAUAACAUGGUCUGCAUGCGUACACGCGGGAUGUCUUAGUAAUUUUAAUACAAUCGGAAAGCGCGAUUCCACAAUGACGAACAAGGACGAAAAUAAUACAUUUUUAAUACGUGGCUUUGUUUUCGUGAGAAUGAUAUGGGUACAGGUGUAUUUUAACUGUGCCACGGUCGAAUAGCUUUCGUUAUAGUUCGCUACUUGGCACUGAUAGUGGCACAACUAAAAAGCGGACAUUUUAUAGUAGAGGCUUCUUAAAAUUUACAUGGGAAGCUUCCUGAGUCAUUUUUAACGACGUUAUAAAACUGAUAGAAUAAGACAAGAUACGCCACUGUUCGCGAAAACAGUAGAACUUCGCAUUUGUAGUGUCACAAAAAUAACAGAAGAUGAGCCAGGCUAAUAGUGGCAUAAAUAGGUGAUAAUCUUCCCUCUCUGACGCAAAACUGAUGGAAUUAUAAAUACACCGUUUUACAUAAGAAAAAUAGAAACAUAACGUAGACGUUCUAUUCGUUCAAAGCAAAGUCGAAAGCCUUUCAGUUGUUCCAUUAUCGAUACACCUGGCAACGAUAUAUCGUUUAUAGAUAGUGUCAUAAUUAUUGAGACGUUCUGUAUGUUUUUGAUAUUUCAUUUUAAUGUAGUACCUUAACGUUUUCUCUUCUAAUCGCGUAACCAAUUAUCUCCGGUUCGAUUGAAUGAUAGCUAACUCGAUCAAUUUAAAGUGGAAUCUACUUAACAAUACGACUUCGUUUCCUUUUCAGACGCACUUUUCUUCUCACGGACAAUCAGCUAUGUCGAUAAUAUCGAUCCUGUCGAAUAACGUUCGUUCGGGUUUACCCGUCCACUAAUCGAAUCAAUCGUUUUGAUAUUACGGCGGAACAUCGUGCGAUCGUUUGGGACAAUUAUGCGGGACAUGGAAUUUACUUCUUUUCGAUGCUAUAAUGCAUUUCGCGUCAAUUUCUAUGUUAAUCUUUCGUUCUUCCAACUUCCGCGAGUCGCUCGUGAAAGCACGCAACAAUGAAAUUCCUCGUACAUACACAGGACGCAAGAAGACGCGAUACUUCCGGCUGAGUAAUAUGUUGGCCGACCGAUAUUGCUUUUGUAAUUGCCACGCCAAGAAAAUUAUUUCAGCUGACCAUGUAUCGCGGAACGCGUGAAACGUCCGUUAGUUUCGUUUCUAUUUGACUGCGUGCCUGAGGCAUGUGCGUUUGUUCGCGUGUAGCGUCGUAUAUCUCUGGUUUAUGCGUAGCCUCGUAUAUCUCUGGUUUAUGCGUAGCCCCGUAUAUCUCUGGUUUAUGCGUAGCCUGCGCGAUUGCAGUGAAAAACAAAUCCAUUGAUACUGACCAGAAUCGAGAAUGCUCGCGGUUCUUCCAUGUAACCUGUUCUUCUAUGUAAUACAAUUCUCUCGGUAGACAGCCUCAGGUGAGAGCUGUGUAACGCUCAGCUCGCGUAUAAACACUUGCCAAAACAAGAAAGUGGUUUAUCGUAUGUUGAAUAACAUGACUCACAUGGUCGUAAUUCGAUUUUCCUUUUCAACGAUCGAGCUGCUUCGUAGAUCUACGCCGGUAUCAAAUGACGUCGAUUGAUAAAAGCGUUCGAUGAAGGUGCAUGGAGCUUUACGAUAGCCAUUCUUCGAACACAUCAGCUGUCUCUUAACUGGUGUAGUUACGAUUGUAUUUAAAAUUCGAAAGUAACAUGUCCAUUGAAUUAUACGCUUUAAUUUCAAAUCUAUUUUUCUUCAGCGUUACGAUUCCUCUAAUAUGGAUGAAGAUCGUGCUUUCGUUUAAUGGUUUCUUUUCAUGCGCUUAUUUCAGUUCGCUCGUAACGCGUGUACCUUGCGAAAUAUUGUUCACUGAACUUUCUCCAAAGGCAGGCAGUUAGAGUUCCGUUCUUCUGGCUUCGUUCUGGUUAUAUUGCUUGUUUUCGAACUCGGUUUUUGACCUCGUUCAACGAUGCGCGGCUGUGAUUCCUUCGCGGCCGUUUGUAUUCUCGCGAAUUAUAUCGCCUCGGAUCGGGACUAAUUUCAUGUGAAAAUCGCGGAGGUAACGGUGGUGGACGUUGAAGCGGCGCGACGCUACCAGCGUCGUGGAGUAUCGAGCUAAAUAAGAGGAAUUAAAAAUGAAACGUCGUCGAUUAAAAUUAAAUGUAGCUUGAAAUUCUACGACGCGUGCUUGAUAAGCUCAGCAACCGUCGUUCGUUGUGUAUUAUUAAACGCAAGCGGAAACUUUUGUUUUCCUUUCUUCCGUCGACUUUUUCAACCGUUUACCGCUUUUCCAUCCUGAAAUUGGAUGUGGAUUUGAAAGGAACUGUUCCGUUCGGUACAUAAAGCCCGCGCCACGUAAGGUAUUACAAACUGUAUUCUUCAAGACAGAAGCUUUUCCUAUUUUCGUGCUUGAUCUUUGAAUUAAUAACGUAGCUUUGAAGUAAUAUGGGCAAAAGGAUUUUUUAGCGUUUGAUUCUCGUUUCAAAGUUCUAAAGCUGUUUAAGAGAGAAAAUCGUGAAAAAUCUCUUUCAGUACACCAAUAUCGAUAGCAAUGUCAAAACAAAGUUUUCUCGACGUGUUUUUGCGGCUUUCGUGGAAACAAUUUGCCGCAAUUUACCUUAUUUCCAUCCACUCUUUUCCAAAUACAAAGUAUUACGAUACGAUCGUUUCUUCAAAUUCAUUAUAGUCAAGAAAACGAUAUUCGAUAUAACUAUCUAAAAAUAUAUACAGUGCGUCUCUCAUGUAACUGGGACAAGAUGUAUCUUUAAAAGAUGUAACAUCGAUUAAUGUAGCUUGAUGUAGUAUACGAUCGUAGUACAACCGGGUAGAAGGCGAUUCUGCGUGAAAAAAAUAAGAAAAAAAAAAUUUAGUGUAAUGUUUUUCCAUCGGCGACUAUAAAUCUAUAAUCAAACAUAGUCCAUAACUUAUCCGAGUUGCGCGAGACACUUUGCAUUGUGUAUCUUAAUAAAGAUUACCAUCAAUGGUUUUUUUCCGGAUGAGAAAAUUUGUUUAAUGCCGCACCAAUGAGUCCAAUUGAAUCAACAUCGUCCAGAUAGUUUGUUUUCGAAAAUUUGUAAUCCCGGUUGCGUCAAGAACGCACGCGAAGCGUUGCGAUUUGCGAUCAACUCAACUCUGCUCGGUAGUCACGCGAGCUUCGGUGCGUUUCAUCGAUUGACGAAGAUAACAUUACGCCGGACUUAUGACACGCUUCUGCGUUCACACUUCUUUCCACAUCGAUUUCCCUCAGUUCAUUGCACCGUUUUCUCGCCGACGCUUAAAUGUUUGUUCAACGAUGUUUUCGCUUUUUAUUUGCACGGCCACUGAUCACAAAUUGC